Molecule: long non-coding RNA, 505 nt
Filed under: Delphinapterus leucas (beluga whale)
Lineage: Eukaryota; Metazoa; Chordata; Mammalia; Artiodactyla; Monodontidae
Description: lncRNA (ENSDLEG00000012165.1)
Source: RNAcentral
GGUAUUAAUUGUCAAUAUAAUGUGCAAAUUUAGGAGGAAAAAACUUGGACAGGCAAUGGACUGAAAGAACAUGACUAGGGAAGCACCCAGCUCCAGAAGUCCCAGCCUGCCACCGUAGAAUGGUUCUGUUUCCCAGGAUUGGAGAUUUGCUGCAUACGUAGCAUUUGUCACAGACCGUCCCCAGCAGAGAUGGGGUGGAGGGAACAUAUGCUGCUGGAGGUACUGGGAGAAGAAGACCUGUGUGGCAGAAGCCUACAGAGCCAUAGUGUCCAAGCUCAGAGGAAGGACCAGGAGUAACACACUUGUGACCCUGAGACUGCGCACAGGCCCCCUGCAGCAGGGAGUCUUCUCCAACCCCAACAAUUGGUGAGCACUUUCCUGCUUCAGGUGCAGAAGAGGGUAGCUGACCAGCGAAUCAAAGAAGUAUCCAUUGGCGCAGGAGGGCUUGGAUCUGCCUAAGGGAGCUGAAAAAGAUCUACACAAUGAGCACCUCGUCUUUCUCAAA